CUCACUCAGAAACCUUUAGGUAAUGAGUAGAGUAUUUUAAUAUCUCCGAAGCUUUUAAGCAAGGAGAUAGUGUUUGUGAGCCUCUCACGUAUUGAUUUAAUACUUGAGUAGGACUGUGUUUUAUUGAGUUGUAAUGUUUUAAGGUUACUCCUAAGCUUUGAAGUACGGAGUUAACUGUGUGUGAUUUACUUGAAGCUUUUAAGCAAGAGUAAAAUAUGUCACGGUGAUUGUCGCCACAUUUUAUUCAACAUUAUAUGAACAACACAGGUUGUGUUGGCUGUGUN
Molecule: long non-coding RNA, 284 nt
Filed under: Trifolium pratense (red clover)
Lineage: Eukaryota; Viridiplantae; Streptophyta; Magnoliopsida; Fabales; Fabaceae
Description: long non-coding RNA (TPRA_LNC007898)
Source: RNAcentral